UAAAGAGGGUGCAAGCGUUAAUCGGAAUUACUGGGCGUAAAGCGUGCGUAGGUGGUUUGUUAAGUCAGGUGUGAAAUCCCCGGGCUCAACCUGGGAACUGCGCUUGAUACUGGCAGACUAGAGUGUGGUAGAGGGUAGUGGAAUUCCCGGUGUAGCGGUGAAAUGCGUAGAUAUCGGGAAGAACAUCAGUGGCGAAGGCGGCUACCUGGACCAACACUGACACUGAGGCACGAAAGCGUGGGGAGCAAACAGG
RNAcentral lists this ribosomal RNA (253 nucleotides) under uncultured bacterium. Its description in RNAcentral is "partial 16S ribosomal RNA". It matches the Rfam family "Bacterial small subunit ribosomal RNA", at positions 524 to 776 of the family's 1533-position model. The record is from RNAcentral.